RNAcentral lists this transfer RNA (75 nucleotides) under Streptomyces sp. PVA_94-07. The record is from RNAcentral. Lineage: Bacteria; Bacillati; Actinomycetota; Actinomycetes; Kitasatosporales; Streptomycetaceae.
CCUGCGGCCCCUGCUCCGAGAUCAACUACGACCGCGGCCCCGAGUUCGGAGUCGAGGGCGGCCCGGCCGUCAACG